GACGAGGGGUCCUAGCGUUGCUCGGAAUCAUUGGGCGUAAAGCGGGUGUAGGCGGCUUUGUAAGUCAGUUGUGAAAGCCCCAGGCUCAACCUGGGAAGUGCUUCUGAUACUGCAAGGCUUGAGUAUUGGAGAGGAUAGUAGAAUUCCUGGUGUAGUGGUGAAAUACGUAGAUAUCAGGAGGAAUACCAGUGGCGAAGGCGGCUAUCUGGCCAAAUACUGACGCUGAGACCCGAAAGCGUGGGGAUCAAACAGG
This 253-nucleotide ribosomal RNA is filed under the name uncultured bacterium. RNAcentral describes it as "partial 16S ribosomal RNA". It matches the Rfam family "Bacterial small subunit ribosomal RNA", at positions 524 to 776 of the family's 1533-position model. The record is from RNAcentral.